This is a long non-coding RNA of Daktulosphaira vitifoliae (grape phylloxera), 1605 nucleotides long. RefSeq lists it as uncharacterized. The record is from RefSeq and is a predicted model, not a curated record. The transcript has 3 exons. Lineage: Eukaryota; Metazoa; Arthropoda; Insecta; Hemiptera; Phylloxeridae.
GCUACAAUAAAAUGAAAACUCAAUUUAAAAAAUUAUUCAUUGUUAAUCAAACUUUUUUUUUUUACUUUUAAAGAAAAAUAAAAAAAAGAAGUAUUAAAUCACUCAAUUUUUAUAACUAAAUAAACAAGAUAUUUUUUUUGUACAAUCAUUUUUAUAAAAGCUUAGUAUUAACAACAUAACUUUUACAAUCAUCAAACAAUACACAAAAUGUGAAAUUUCAAAAAGUAAAUAUAAUUAAAAAAAAAAACACUAUGAUCAGUAUUGCGGUUUUAUUACAUUUCGAGUUGGAUCAUUUAACUUCAAAGAAACACGAAGCUCUUAAACUUGGGUGCAUGUUGAAAAAAAGUUUAUUUAUCCGCGUUCGGUUCAUUUCGUCUUUUUAUAUGAAGCAUUUAUGUUGAAUUUCGUAAAUCUAAAGUGUAUGCAAGAUUCCAGCUCGAUACAAAGUGGCUCAAAACUGAGUUCAAAGAUUUAUAGCAAAAGAAAGGAGAACAGAAAACAAGACAUACUAAGUAAAUUAAAAGCUCAAAGAAAUAUAAGUAACUAGAAAAAGUUGUUAAUUUUUAAAAUUAGCGUCCAAACUUUAAAAAUCAACAAAUUAAUAAGUUAUAAGUCGUAUAACUCAUCUCUUUGUUUGAUAAAUUGAUUUUAGAAUUUUUGGAAAUUAUUUUGUGAAUAUAUGAUCAGACACAUUAUUAAAAAUUAAAAAAAAAAAGUAAAUCAAACUAAAUUUUACAGAAUUUUACGAAAAUUAAAAAGCUUGGCGACAAACCACACAAAUAGGACUGUACAUUACGUGUAUUUUAUAUAUAAAAUUACGCUGGCGUAGCGUUCUCUUAACGAAUUGAAUACCAUUAACUACUUAACCGAAAUUUUUUACUGCUACUGAAAUUGUAAGAUAACCUUGAAGAAGUACUUAAAUUAAUAUACAUUUCUUAUUAUACUAUCUGACGAGCAUUGUUAUUUUUAAUUGAAAAAAGCCGAAUAUAGUGGACCGCAAUUGGAUGGUCGUAAGUAAAAAGGGAGUAGAUCAACUUUAGAUAUACUAAGAGAAUAUAAAAAACGCUCAGGUUACUAGUUAAGAUUUCAAUUACCCACAGAUAUGUUAUGUAAAUAAUUAAAUAAUUGAAAUAUUCCAACAAAUUAAAUAAUUAACCAAAUUAAUAUGUUUAUAAUAUAACUAAAUUACCCAUAAGCUUUAAAUAUCAGUUUAAAAAAACAAAAAUAAAAGAUGAUAUAAAAUUGUCGAAGCUAUUAUAACGAAGCCAUUGGAUGAUGCCUACAAAAAUAAUUAUAUGUAAAUGUAAUAUAUUAUAUAUUUAAAAAAAAAAAAGCGAAUCAAAACUAAAACGUCCUCAAAUUUACCAUUCAACUUUUAUAACUAUUCUAUAUACUCAGGCAGCAAAUAUUCAUACAAACUUCCUUCGAUUAAAACCAUCAACGAAUAUUAUCUCUCUUUUUUCUAAAGAAACAAAAAAAAGCCUAAUUUUUUAAUUAUUGAGAUUUAUUAUAAAAUCACUUAUAAUCAUACACUAAGCAUAUAAUUAUCACAUAAUGCAAAAAAACUGUUUAGUUAAAACUCUAAACGAUAUUAAUUUAUUUAUA